UACGUAGGUGGCAAGCGUUGUCCGGAUUUAUUGGGUUUAAAGGGUGCGUAGGCGGUCUUAUAAGUCAGUGGUGAAAUACGGCAGCUCAACUGUCGAGGUGCCAUUGAUACUGUAGGACUUGAGUACAGACGAGGUAGGCGGAAUUGACGGUGUAGCGGUGAAAUGCUUAGAUAUCGUCAAGAACACCGAUAGCGAAGGCAGCUUACUAGGCUGUAACUGACGCUGAGGCACGAAAAGUGUGGGGGAUCAAACAGG
RNAcentral lists this ribosomal RNA (255 nucleotides) under uncultured bacterium. Its description in RNAcentral is "partial 16S ribosomal RNA". It matches the Rfam family "Bacterial small subunit ribosomal RNA", at positions 524 to 776 of the family's 1533-position model. The record is from RNAcentral.